Molecule: ribosomal RNA, 1089 nt
Filed under: Escherichia coli
Lineage: Bacteria; Pseudomonadati; Pseudomonadota; Gammaproteobacteria; Enterobacterales; Enterobacteriaceae
Description: bacterial SSU rRNA
Rfam family: Bacterial small subunit ribosomal RNA
Source: RNAcentral
UUGCUGACGAGUGGCGGACGGGUGAGUAAUGUCUGGGAAACUGCCUGAUGGAGGGGGAUAACUACUGGAAACGGUAGCUAAUACCGCAUAAUGUCGCAAGACCAAAGAGGGGGACCUUCGGGCCUCUUGCCAUCGGAUGUGCCCAGAUGGGAUUAGCUAGUAGGUGGGGUAACGGCUCACCUAGGCGACGAUCCCUAGCUGGUCUGAGAGGAUGACCAGCCACACUGGAACUGAGACACGGUCCAGACUCCUACGGGAGGCAGCAGUGGGGAAUAUUGCACAAUGGGCGCAAGCCUGAUGCAGCCAUGCCGCGUGUAUGAAGAAGGCCUUCGGGUUGUAAAGUACUUUCAGCGGGGAGGAAGGGAGUAAAGUUAAUACCUUUGCUCAUUGACGUUACCCGCAGAAGAAGCACCGGCUAACUCCGUGCCAGCAGCCGCGGUAAUACGGAGGGUGCAAGCGUUAAUCGGAAUUACUGGGCGUAAAGCGCACGCAGGCGGUUUGUUAAGUCGGAUGUGAAAUCCCCGGGCUCAACCUGGGAACUGCAUCUGAUACUGGCAAGCUUGAGUCUCGUAGAGGGGGGUAGAAUUCCAGGUGUAGCGGUGAAAUGCGUAGAGAUCUGGAGGAAUACCGGUGGCGAAGGCGGCCCCCUGGACGAAGACUGACGCUCAGGUGCGAAAGCGUGGGGAGCAAACAGGAUUAGAUACCCUGGUAGUCCACGCCGUAAACGAUGUCGACUUGGAGGUUGUGCCCUUGAGGCGUGGCUUCCGGAGCUAACGCGUUAAGUCGACCGCCUGGGGAGUACGGCCGCAAGGUUAAAACUCAAAUGAAUUGACGGGGGCCCGCACAAGCGGUGGAGCAUGUGGUUUAAUUCGAUGCAACGCGAAGAACCUUACCUGGUCUUGACAUCCACGGAAGUUUUCAGAGAUGAGAAUGUGCCUUCGGGAACCGUGAGACAGGUGCUGCAUGGCUGUCGUCAGCUCGUGUUGUGAAAUGUUGGGUUAAGUCCCGCAACGAGCGCAACCCUUAUCCUUUGUUGCCAGCGGUCCGGCCGGGAACUCAAAGGAGACUGCCAGUGAUAAACUGGAGGAA